Molecule: ribosomal RNA, 444 nt
Filed under: Triticum aestivum (bread wheat)
Lineage: Eukaryota; Viridiplantae; Streptophyta; Magnoliopsida; Poales; Poaceae
Description: partial small subunit ribosomal RNA
Source: RNAcentral
AUGUAUAUUCAGGAGUUCAAGCACAAGCUCAAUAAGAUUGAGCUUUCAUUGCGUCAACCGACUUCUAAGCCUCCCCCACGGCCUUUUGAUACAGAAGCAUUCAAUAAUUAUCUUGUAUGGUUUCGUUCCGUUGCCCGUACUCAACUUAACGCACCCGCAUUUCAGCCAGGGGACAUAUUACAUGAACCCAAUCCAGGUUUUGAUCGUAUGGCCAAUAUGGAGUACAACACGCUUAUUAGAGAUGGAAGACGAUAUGAAUCGGCGCCAACUAUCCGCUUUGUGCAAAACGAGCUCUCGAAGCAUGUGAACGACGCCGGUGAGGCACUCAAGUACCCUCCUGGUGAAGAGUCGUACAAUAAGCUUAAAGCUUUUGUUGAGGUUGAAGGGAAGGAUAAAUCACCGAUUUGGAGUUCCGAUCCACGAAAUUUUGUGGGCAUUAGGUAG